CCUACGGGGGGCAGCAGUGGGGAAUAUUGGACAAUGGGCGCAAGCCUGAUCCAGCCAUGCCGCGUGUGUGAAGAAGGCCUUCUGGUUGUAAAGCACUUUCAGCGAGGAGGCGUUACUCGCAGAAGAAGCACCGGCUAACUCUGUGCCAGCAGCCGCGGUAAUACAGAGGGUGCAAGCGUUAAUCGGAAUUACUGGGCGUAAAGCGCACGUAGGCGGUUUUUUAAGUCAGAUGUGAAAGCCCCGGGCUCAACCUGGGAAUUGCAUUUGAAACUGGGAAACUAGAGUGUGUGAGAGGGGGGUAGAAUUCCAAGUGUAGCGGUGAAAUGCGUAGAGAUUUGGAGGAAUACCAGUGGCGAAGGCGGCCCCCUGCCAACACUGACGCUCAGGUGCGAAAGCGUGGGGAGCAAACAGGAUUAGAUACCCUUGUAGUC
RNAcentral lists this ribosomal RNA (431 nucleotides) under uncultured bacterium. RNAcentral's name for it is "partial 16S ribosomal RNA". It matches the Rfam family "Bacterial small subunit ribosomal RNA", at positions 338 to 795 of the family's 1533-position model. The record is from RNAcentral.